Oryza sativa Japonica Group (Japanese rice) is the source of this 1272-nucleotide long non-coding RNA. RefSeq lists it as uncharacterized. The record is from RefSeq and is a predicted model, not a curated record. NCBI's taxonomy places the organism in Eukaryota, Viridiplantae, Streptophyta, Magnoliopsida, Poales, Poaceae.
ACAGUUAGCAUUGAUGAUAGAUUGGCUGUAUAGCUUGAUGUAAUCACGAGAAGCACAAAUACCCAUACAAUGACAACCAGUCUAGACAAAAUGCUGUCCACCCUUUCCCCUGCAAAAUGGUGAACCAUCAUAUUUUAGAACUUCAAAUUAACAUUGAUGCUGAAUUUACUCUUACUAUGCCUGUAUCCCUUUGUUUGUUAAAGACUGUAUUGUAAAAUAAAUUGCUUUUUUGUCAGCUCUUUCUCACUGAAUUUGACAAACGCAGUAUUCUGUAUGUAGAUAAGAAAACAAGUAUAGUCACUCACUAUCUGCAAAGAACGAGAAAUAUAUUGCUAUGCCAAGCUGGCGGAGAAAUGAGCCAGUCAGUUCAGCAUUAUUGCUUCGUCGCUCCAACAACCAUAUUACAAUUGCUGUGUAGACGAAGAAGGCGAUGCUCCCAAACCACAGAUUGUGAAAUGUACCUUCUGAUGCAGCUUGGAUAUCAUCUCCAUUGGAAUCCCUAAUGUGGAGAACCAGCUUUGUCUUAAAGUUCCUGUGGGCUUUAUAGAAAUCUUCCACAGCCAUCAAAAUGCUGGUACGUGCCAUUUUGCCCACCAACGACUUCAGGUGGAGAAUCACUCCAACAUUCAGUGUAUCUUCUCCACUCCCAGUGAUAUUUUGAGCAACAGUCAGACUGAGGAACAGGAAGAAGAUUGCAGCCCUUCCAGCUGCUCUCUCCAUCCCCAUGCUGUGUUGGUUGAUGUUCUGCUGGUUACUGAAUGCAUGGUGCUAUGAAGUCUUAUAGCCCUAUCCUUUUUUUUUUCCUUCAUUAUUCUGACUUGGUCAGAUUGCAUUAUAGUCUCUAUUGUCUCCGAAUUAAAAUUUUAAGUUUGCUUCUGGCAAUCUCUUCCUUGCGUAAGAGGCUACUGUUCUGUUUAUAAGUACAAAAGAGACGUUUCUGAAUAGAACCAUGUUAGGGUGAUGGCUGUGGAAAUUCUGGGUUGGAAACCCAGGAAGAAUGAGCUGGAAACGCAUAUAUACCUUCACCUUCCUCAAGUGAAUCAUUGGUCCUCAAGGAAUGGGAUUGUGAUAGUCAAGGAAGUCGGAACUCGCGUUUGGCAUGGGGAGUUGCUCUGAAUGUUUGACUCUCUUGGCAUGCUUUGAUGUGUGGUACUCCCUUUGUUUCCAAAUGUUUGUUAGCUUUGACUAUUAUUAUUUCAACUUUGAUCACCGAUAACUUUGGAAUGACGAGAUUUUGAUAAAUAAAGGUUGCAUGGCAACGGUGAGAUUUCA